UUGAACAUAUAUUCACAUACAAUAUCACCAACCAUGAUCUUGUCUUAUGCACCUUCUUAUUUCUUUCCUUAAGGGUUGUAAUUCCAUGAAUAAGUACCAUAAUUAGGUGGCAAGGCAUGAGGGUUUUGUGGAUAAUUCCCCGAGGUACUUUGCGGCAUGUUUAAUAUGUUUUGGUUACUUGAAAACCGAAUAAGAUCUGCAUUAGUUGCAUCUAGUUCCUUUUGUAGUCGAAGAACUUGCCUUUGGAGUACAGAAAUUGCACCAACACAACCAUAAACGGGGUCUUUUAGACGCGCCUCGGCUUCAUAGGCUAAAGAGUUGACAGCAUCUUCUCUUUGAUGAGGUUCAAUUUCAUUAAGAAGUUUGCUAACAUUGCUUGCCCCAAAUAUUUUGUGAACAUUUGUGAAUUUAAUUGGGUCUUCUGGUGGGAAAUAUGGUGAGAAAACACAUCCUUUGAUGCAUUUUCUUCUCAAGAACUUGCAGGCUGCACAGGGAGCACUAGGAUGAUGGGUACUGGAAGAAGACAUGUUUAUGUGCUGCAUGAGCAAAAGUAA
This 554-nucleotide long non-coding RNA is filed under the name Helianthus annuus (common sunflower). RNAcentral describes it as "sRNA HanXRQr2_Chr17g0799531". Lineage: Eukaryota; Viridiplantae; Streptophyta; Magnoliopsida; Asterales; Asteraceae. The record is from RNAcentral.